Molecule: ribosomal RNA, 377 nt
Filed under: uncultured Glomeromycotina
Lineage: Eukaryota; Fungi; Glomeromycota
Description: LSU rRNA
Source: RNAcentral
UUGAAAGGGAAACGAUUGAAGUCAGUCGUACCAGCGGAUAAUCAGCCUUUAGAUGCGAUUUUGUGGAGCGUGAAGAGCUAAUCGCCUUCAUGCCUGUAUAUUCGUGUACUUGGGGUGUACUUAUUCGUGUGGUAAGUUAACAUCAAUUUUGGUUGUCAUAAAAUGAUUGGAGGAAUGUAGCUUCGAUCUCGUAUUGAAGUGUUAUAGCCUUUGGUAGAUGUGACGAUCGGGAUUGAGGAUUGCAACGGAUACCCUUCGGGGGCUACCUGUCUGAUCUCUGAUUGUUGCUCUGGUGCUGAAAGCUUGCUUAUGGUUAUCAAAGUCGAUGGUCAAUAGGUUAGAAUGGGUUAAAUUCGUUAAGGAUGUUGACGUAAGUC